GGGGCUAUAGCUCAGUGGUAGAGUGUGUGCAUGAGGUCCUGGGUUCAAUCCCCAGUACCGCCA
Transfer RNA from Camelus ferus (Wild Bactrian camel), 63 nucleotides. It matches the Rfam family "tRNA". Rfam says of the family: Transfer RNA (tRNA) molecules are approximately 80 nucleotides in length. Their secondary structure includes four short double-helical elements and three loops (D, anti-codon, and T loops). Lineage: Eukaryota; Metazoa; Chordata; Mammalia; Artiodactyla; Camelidae. The record is from Rfam.